Molecule: unclassified non-coding RNA, 329 nt
Filed under: soil metagenome
Description: partial contains 5.8S ribosomal RNA, internal transcribed spacer 2, and large subunit ribosomal RNA
Rfam family: 5.8S ribosomal RNA (bases 1-120)
Source: RNAcentral
GAUGAAGAACGCAGCGAAAUGCGAUAAGUAAUGUGAAUUGCAGAAUUCAGUGAAUCAUCGAAUCUUUGGACGCACAUUGCGCCCCCUGGUAUUCCGGGGGGCAUGCCUGUCCGAGCGUCAUUACAACCCUCAAGCUCAGCUUGGUAUUGGGCCCCGCCGACCCGGCGGGCCCUAAAGUCAGUGGCGGUGCCGUCCGGCUCCGAGCGUAGUAAUUCUUCUCGCUCUGGAGGUCCGGUCGUGUGCUCGCCAGCAACCCCCAAUUUUUUUCAGGUUGACCUCGGAUCAGGUAGGGAUACCCGCUGAACUUAAGCAUAUCAAUAAGCGGAGGA